Molecule: ribosomal RNA, 253 nt
Filed under: uncultured bacterium
Lineage: Bacteria
Description: partial 16S ribosomal RNA
Rfam family: Bacterial small subunit ribosomal RNA
Source: RNAcentral
UACGUAGGGUGCGAGCGUUGUCCGGACUUAUUGGGCGUAAAGGGCUCGUAGGCGGUCUGUUGCGUCGGGAGUGAAAACUCAGGGCUUAACCCUGAGCCUGCUUCCGAUACGGGCAGACUAGAGGUAUGCAGGGGAGAACGGAAUUCCUGGUGUAGCGGUGAAAUGCGCAGAUAUCAGGAGGAACACCGGUGGCGAAGGCGGUUCUCUGGGCAUUACCUGACGCUGAGGAGCGAAAGUGUGGGGAGCGAACAGG